RNAcentral lists this non-coding RNA (45 nucleotides) under Schistosoma curassoni. Lineage: Eukaryota; Metazoa; Platyhelminthes; Trematoda; Strigeidida; Schistosomatidae. The record is from RNAcentral.
AUCCAGCUCAAGAGUCCCAAAUAGGACGAAACGCACAUCCUAGAU